AGUGAACGCUGGCGGCAGGCCUAACACAUGCAAGUCGAGCGGCAGCGCGGGGGCAACCCUGGCGGCGAGCGGCGGACGGGUGAGGAAUUCGUCGGAAUCUGCCUUUUUGUGGGGGAUAACGUAGGGAAACUUACGCUAAUACCGCAUACGUCCUACGGGAGAAAGUGGGGGACCGCAAGGCCUCACGCAGAAAGAUGAGCCGACGACCGAUUAGCUAGUUGGGGGGGUAAAGGCUCACCAAGGCGACGAUCGGAAGCUGGUCUGAGAGGAAGAUCAGCCAGACGGUGAGAGAGACUGAUCCGAGACUCUGACGGUGGGAAGCGGUGGGGAAUAUUGGACGAUGGGGGCGAGCCUGAUCCAGCAAUGCCGGGGGUGUGAAGAUGGAGUACUGGUGGGAAAGCACUUUUGUCCUGAAAGAAAUCCCUGUAUCUAAUACCGUCUGAUGAUGACGGUACCGGAAGAAUAAGCUCCGGCUAACUUCGUG
This 484-nucleotide ribosomal RNA is filed under the name uncultured bacterium. RNAcentral's name for it is "partial 16S ribosomal RNA". It matches the Rfam family "Bacterial small subunit ribosomal RNA", at positions 30 to 507 of the family's 1533-position model. The record is from RNAcentral.